GGUUUCCGUAGGUGAACCUGCGGAAGGAUCAUUACCGAGUGCGGGAACCCAGUCGGGUCCCAAUCUCCCACCCGUGUCUACCACACCUAGUGUUGCUUUGGCGGGCCCACUCCUCCGGUGUUCCGCCGGGGGGGUCGUCCCGGGGCGCGGUGUGCCCCCGGGGCCCGUGCCCGCCAGAGGCACUCACUGUGAACGCUUUUGUGAAUGCGAGGAUUGUCUGAGUGACGAAAUGCAAUCGUUCAAAACUUUCAACAAUGGAUCUCUUGGUUCCGGCAUCGAUGAAGAACGCAGCGAAAUGCGAUAAGUAAUGUGAAUUGCAGAAUUCCGUGAAUCAUCGAAUCUUUGAACGCACAUUGCGCCCUCUGGUAUUCCGGGGGGCAUGCCUGUCCGAGCGUCAUUGCGAACCCUCAAGCACGGCUUGUGUGUUGGGCCGCCGUCCCCUCGUUUGGAGGGGACGGGCCUGAAAGGCAGCGGCGGCGUCGCGUCCGGUCCUCGAGCGUAUGGGGCUCUGUCACGCGCUCAAGGAGGGGUCCGGCCGGGGCCAUAGCCUCUGAAGGUCAAUUCUUCCAAGGUUGACCUCGGAUCAGGUAGGAGUACCCGCUGAACUUAAGCAUAUCAAUAAG
This 623-nucleotide ribosomal RNA is filed under the name Thermomyces lanuginosus. Its description in RNAcentral is "eukaryotic LSU rRNA". The stretch from base 244 to 397 matches the Rfam family "5.8S ribosomal RNA". The record is from RNAcentral. Lineage: Eukaryota; Fungi; Ascomycota; Eurotiomycetes; Eurotiales; Trichocomaceae.